Molecule: transfer RNA, 73 nt
Filed under: Clostridium sp.
Lineage: Bacteria; Bacillati; Bacillota; Clostridia; Eubacteriales; Clostridiaceae
Also listed under: 15 other names
Description: tRNA-Lys
Rfam family: tRNA
About the family: Transfer RNA (tRNA) molecules are approximately 80 nucleotides in length. Their secondary structure includes four short double-helical elements and three loops (D, anti-codon, and T loops).
Source: RNAcentral
GCGCCAUUAGCUCAGUUGGUAGAGCAGUAGACUCUUAAUCUAUUUGUCCAGGGUUCGAGUCCCUGAUGGCGCA